GUUUGUGGGGUGGGACACAAUUCUUGGAGAAUAUUUAAAGUCGAAAUGCUUGGCCAACUGAACGCCAUCACACGACUCGACUUGCAAACAUCAUCAGACUGCACACUGCACACAUGGCAUCAGCAUCUGUCGUCUGCUUCUUGGUCGUACUCGCCCUUGCAGUCUCUAACGUGCACGGCUGGUGCGGCCUGUUAUUUGGAGGUCAGUGCGCUGCAGCUGGUACCUGCCCCAGUGGUAACGGUUUUUCUCGAUUUUGUGCAGUAGGUCAGCAGUGCUGCCUGCCAGCAGGAAUUCCUGUCUGUGCAAGAAAUUCUGAAUGCCAACAACGCGGGUGGGUAGCCAAAGGCUUCAUAAACGGGGACAGGGUUUGCUGUCCUGCGCAGUCGCAAGGUCUUUUGACCAUCGACAGGCAGUGCUUUUGCAGGAUGCCUAGCGCUUAAAAAAUGUCUCAGUCGACUGCACUACAUGGCCGCACCAGACAUGAGCUCGGGCAGAAUCCAUUAACACUGUCAACUACCACGCAGGAGAGCAAAGCAAUCCCGCUAAAACAAAUGUAAACAGCAAUAUCAAACUGUGGCAAGUGUAGGAAUGACUGGGGCAUUGAUCGAGCCAUCAGAAAGACUUACUCAUGAACAGGACAGUCGAGACAGAAAUGAAUGACUUUGACAAUCUCUGUAUUAAACCGACACAAACAACUGUUAAAGUACUUGCUCUAAAUACUUUAGUAUCUGUGUAUGAUUUAAUUAAGAUUUCGCUUUAACUUCGGAGGCUUUAUCUGAAUACUUUUCCCGUACAUUUAAUUGUUUUUUCACAGCUGUAUAUGAAUAUAUUUGUUUUCAACAUCAAGUGAAGAUCUGCAUGGUUGAAUCUGGAAAUUUGUGUGUGUGUGUGUGUUUUAUAUUGUUUGUUAAGAAGUAUUGUGUGUCACUGCUGCUUAAGAGUGCGUGAGUGUAACAGAUUGCUCAAUUUCUUUGAAGGUUACAAAUGUAUCAGUGAAACGAUCGAAUGUAUUACCCAGGCUUACGCUGUGUCACAGAAAGAUUUUGAUUAGCUUGUAAAGCCCGAGUGUGUCGCGAAAGUAUUUUAAAUCGUUGACAAUGUCCAUUAUGUUGUGUGGAAAGAUUUAUUUGUAAAGUUAUUAUGCCUGCUUUUCAUAGACAAAUUUGCAUUGCGAAACAGUUGACAAAAAACUGCGAAAAAUCACCAUAACAAAUAUCUUUAAAGAUUUGUGGUUGUACUGUCUGUAAGGAUCCCGGAGAGAAAGUUUUUAGGAAGCAGGAUGAAAGAGUGUGUUUCUAUGCACCACACCUCCCAACCUUGUUGUUAAUUUUGACAGUACAAACCAUAGGUUUAUGUAACUGGCUCGAUACACAUGUCAUGACAUGAUAUCACAUGUUUUUUCACUCCGGGAAACUAUUGCACAUAAAUACUCACAAACGAACAGGAGACUGGUUAGAAUUUCCUGGAUAAUCCAAACCGUACAAUAAAUCUUUAUAAGACCAUUAAAACGAUAAAUGUUACAUUUUUUAUUUCUAUGUAAACUGAUUUUUCAGCAAAGAGUGCAUUGUGAUGGUGCAGAUUUUGUACAUAUUGGUCAGAGGAACAUUGUUGCACGUGAUAAUAAUUUUUGCUGUUAUACAAAAAUUAAAGAUUAUUUCAAACA
Long non-coding RNA from Pomacea canaliculata, 1663 nucleotides. RefSeq lists it as uncharacterized. NCBI's taxonomy places the organism in Eukaryota, Metazoa, Mollusca, Gastropoda, Architaenioglossa, Ampullariidae. The record is from RefSeq and is a predicted model, not a curated record. The transcript is spliced from 3 exons.